GUGCGGCGUGGCUGCUUGUUUUAAUUGGCGAUCGGUCUAGAAAGUGUACAAGCACAAGUUAUCAAUCCACACACUUCUACUUCCAAUUACACACACACACACACACACACACACACAAGACAACGCGGUCACACAAAGAACUCACUACACUCCAAAUUCCUCAUGCAUUGUUUUGCGAGGUUACCAUACCUCCGUGCCCUCUCUCCCCAGCUCGCGCACACGGCAGAGAUAGUUUAAUUAAAGAACAACAUUAUCUUAGGGCAGCUGCACUCCUUGCAGUAAGGAAUGCCUUGUUUUCAGUGCUGCGUCAGGAGAGCAGGAGAGCGCGCCACCUCCACUAACCGCUGCCUGUCCUCCUCUGUCCUAUAUGGCCCCUUGCUCUGUCAAUAGCUUUUAAUGGUGCGAUUGCAAAACAUCUUGUCACAUGCGGGAGUUACGAUGAGGUUUUACAGCCCUGCAGCCAUUCAAAAGAUAUAUACAUCGCAGUUACCCGAGACGUCUUAAGACGGAGACGGUGUGUGCAAAGCGUUGCAUAAUGCCGAGGGACAUAAUUUUUUUAAUUGCGCACUUCAAGACGGUGCACGUGUGUCCCGAUGUGUAUUAUAAAGUGGGCACUUAAAAACAAAGGCCUGCCGAUAUAGACGCAGAUAAAUGCUGCCUACAUGCGUCUGAACAAACUACCGCCAAACGCUGGGAAACAAAUGUCUCUGUAAUCGAGAAAUGAUAUCCAGACAAAAUAAAUAUUUGGUGUUUUUUUUGUGCUUUGCAUGUUGUCGGUGAACACCGGUGCAUCGGUGCUGGUCUGCCGGCAGGGUGAAGCCUCGCCGGCCGUGCCGCUUAAACAAGAUUUUCUCCUUUUUUGUUUCUUUUUUUUUUCUUCUUCAUAAUCGACACGAUCGUAACCCCCUGCCGAACAAAGGCAUGAAUAUCCAUUUCCAAGGAAAAGGGUGAGUGCCCUCUCCAUGCCCCCUCCUCGGCCCUCGGUGUACUGUACCCGUUGCCCUGGUAACCCCAACGGGCAGAAUGCAGAUCAGGGGGACCAACGCAGCGGCCUCUUGUCUCCCCUCACAAUUCACCCUGAUGAUGGCUAACACUUUUGUUCAUGGAGAGGGCAGGUGGGAGUUUACAAUACGCUUCAAAUCAUUGCUCACCCGAGAUCUCCCCUUUACUCUCCCUCUCUAACCCCCGGCUCCCCCAUCCAUAUCUUUCCACCUCUCGUCUUUCUUUUCUUCAUUUUUUUCCCGAUCUCCCCCCCCUCCAAUGUCCCCCCCCCCUCCUCCCUCGUUCGUCCUUCCAGUCGAGAAUGACAGUGAAUCCCACAAAGCUCACUCGCGGCAGACGUGGCGGUGGUUUGCGAGAGGUCAGUGUUAUCUAAACAGACCCAUUGGGCUAUUUGCUAUAGCACCCUCCAUCAGGCAGGAAGCUCUGAGGAAUCAGCCCAUCACUUCAAUCAGCCACCACGGCAUACAAUGAAUUUAUAAUGGCCAGAGCAGGGCGAGGGACGAAAUCAAAGAGAGACAGAGGGAGGAAGAGAGAGCGAUGGACGAAGAGGGAAAAGGGGUUCGGGAGGACAAGAGAGCAAAAGAUGGAGGAGCCGAAGUGGAGUCCGUGUCAAUGACCACUAUGCGCCGGACGUAUUUGCAGCCGGCCGGCGUGUUUAUUGGCCCGUGUGCAGAGAGAGGAGGUAAUCUUAUCUCCGUUCAUAGGGUAAGUACAUGUGACGGUAGAGAUACACAAACUCUUGAUCAAUAUCUUGAUAGAUUGUCAGAUAAUGACUCAUCGCGCGGGUGUGGACAAUUGCUUCAAUGUGUUUUCCUGGCUCAGGCCCGGAAAAGGGGCCCAAAAGGGGACCGCGGCCCGGUUCUCUGUCUUUGGACCGACCCGACCGACAGACAGACCGACCGACUGAUGGCGCCCGGGCCCCUCGCGCCCCCCCCCCCCCGCCUGGCCAUUGCCCUUUGACCACAUUAACCGGCGCAGUCAAACUCAUCUCUCCGGUCUCCUGUUAUCACCUGGAAUCAAACAUUAAAAGAGGGAGGGAGCCGGAGUUACUCAUAAAGUCUGAGAUAUAUGGGCGCUGGUGGGGGGGAGAGAUAAAGACGGUGAGAGGCGGAGUGGGGGAAGAAGAUGAUAAAAAAU
Molecule: long non-coding RNA, 2139 nt
Organism: Gasterosteus aculeatus aculeatus (three-spined stickleback)
Lineage: Eukaryota; Metazoa; Chordata; Actinopteri; Perciformes; Gasterosteidae
Source: Ensembl